CGUACGCGGGCGGGUACCUGGGCAUUUGGCUCGGAAUGUCUGCGCUCGGCUUUCUCUUGAAUAUGCAUGGCAGAGCGUAUUUACACAAAAGAGAAAUCCAGAAGAUUGUUAAUGCCUUCUUUACAAGAGGCGAACAAAAUCUAAGACUGAGAAAAAAACCAAGAUGGACUGAUCCCGUGAUUCGUAUCCGUUAAGCAAUACUCAGCAGAGGCACGUGCUUC
Rhipicephalus microplus (southern cattle tick) is the source of this 221-nucleotide long non-coding RNA. The record is from RefSeq and is a predicted model, not a curated record. NCBI's taxonomy places the organism in Eukaryota, Metazoa, Arthropoda, Arachnida, Ixodida, Ixodidae.